This 250-nucleotide ribosomal RNA is filed under the name uncultured bacterium. Its description in RNAcentral is "partial 16S ribosomal RNA". It matches the Rfam family "Bacterial small subunit ribosomal RNA", at positions 524 to 773 of the family's 1533-position model. The record is from RNAcentral.
UACGUAGGUGGCAAGCGUUGUCCGGAAUUACUGGGCGUAAAGGGCGAGUAGGCGGUCUUACCAGUCAGAUGUGAAAGGCGAGGGCUCAACCCUCGGACUGCAUUUGAAACUGUAAGACUUGAGUGCGGUAGAGGAAAGUGGAAUUCCCAGUGUAGCGGUGAAAUGCGUAGAUAUUGGGAGGAACACCAGUGGCGAAGGCGACUUUCUGGGCCGUAACUGACGCUGAGGCGCGAAAGCGUGGGGAGCAAAC